This 883-nucleotide ribosomal RNA is filed under the name Microbacterium sp. CNRD10. Its description in RNAcentral is "bacterial SSU rRNA". It matches the Rfam family "Bacterial small subunit ribosomal RNA", at positions 94 to 989 of the family's 1533-position model. Lineage: Bacteria; Bacillati; Actinomycetota; Actinomycetes; Micrococcales; Microbacteriaceae. The record is from RNAcentral.
AGUGGCGAACGGGUGAGUAACACGUGAGCAACCUGCCCCUGACUCUGGGAUAAGCGCUGGAAACGGCGUCUAAUACUGGAUAUGUGACUCGACCGCAUGGUCUGUGUCUGGAAAGAAUUUCGGUUGGGGAUGGGCUCGCGGCCUAUCAGCUUGUUGGUGAGGUAAUGGCUCACCAAGGCGUCGACGGGUAGCCGGCCUGAGAGGGUGACCGGCCACACUGGGACUGAGACACGGCCCAGACUCCUACGGGAGGCAGCAGUGGGGAAUAUUGCACAAUGGGCGCAAGCCUGAUGCAGCAACGCCGCGUGAGGGAUGACGGCCUUCGGGUUGUAAACCUCUUUUAGCAGGGAAGAAGCGAAAGUGACGGUACCUGCAGAAAAAGCGCCGGCUAACUACGUGCCAGCAGCCGCGGUAAUACGUAGGGCGCAAGCGUUAUCCGGAAUUAUUGGGCGUAAAGAGCUCGUAGGCGGUUUGUCGCGUCUGCUGUGAAAUCCGGAGGCUCAACCUCCGGCCUGCAGUGGGUACGGGCAGACUAGAGUGCGGUAGGGGAGAUUGGAAUUCCUGGUGUAGCGGUGGAAUGCGCAGAUAUCAGGAGGAACACCGAUGGCGAAGGCAGAUCUCUGGGCCGUAACUGACGCUGAGGAGCGAAAGGGUGGGGAGCAAACAGGCUUAGAUACCCUGGUAGUCCACCCCGUAAACGUUGGGAACUAGUUGUGGGGUCCAUUCCACGGAUUCCGUGACGCAGCUAACGCAUUAAGUUCCCCGCCUGGGGAGUACGGCCGCAAGGCUAAAACUCAAAGGAAUUGACGGGGACCCGCACAAGCGGCGGAGCAUGCGGAUUAAUUCGAUGCAACGCGAAGAACCUUACCAAGGCUUGACAUAU